AUGAUGUCACAAACUCAUCAAGACUGUGACUCAGUGAACCAUCUAGACAGAGGAUGAAAUGCAGUAGUUCACCAACAUGUUAUGUUUCUAUGAACAACCAGAUGCAAACGUCCUGGCAUUCAUCCUGCCUGCUUGCUGUUUGUACCAUCUCCGUGGUAGCAACCAUCCAAGCUGCUGGAAGCACAGACUGAGCUCUAUGAGUCAAUUAUUUUAUAUACCUGGGAACGUGCUAGCCUUCCUGUCACUCUUUGAUGUCACUAUGUAGACAGUUUGCAGCCUAGGCAACAUGCCCCUAAAGCACUGGAAAUGGUUGGCCCUGAAGUGCUCCUAAGGUAACCGCAAGAUGAGGCAAAACAGGAUUGAGAUGAAAACCAAGCUCACCCACAUCCUACGUCAAUUAGCUAUUUUUUUUUCUGUGUAAACAAUGGGAGGGAGGUGGAUUGUAGCUUUUAUGGUAGAGGUUCCUCGGCACCUCCUGACGCCCCCAGGGGUCCCCCCUGCCACUGCCCUCAGCCCAAAUAUAAGCUGACAACAAAA
Molecule: long non-coding RNA, 537 nt
Filed under: Homo sapiens (human)
Lineage: Eukaryota; Metazoa; Chordata; Mammalia; Primates; Hominidae
Description: HSALNT0346059
Source: RNAcentral